AGUGAACGCUGGCGGUAGGCCUAACACAUGCAAGUCGAACGGCAGCACAGUAAGAGCUUGCUCUUACGGGUGGCGAGUGGCGGACGGGUGAGGAAUACAUCGGAAUCUACUUUUUCGUGGGGGAUCACGUAGGGAAACUUACGCUAAUACCGCAUACGCCCUACGGGUGAAAGCAGGGGAUCUUCGGACCUUGCGCGAUUGAAUGAGCCGAUGUCGGUUUAGCUAGUUGGCGGGGUAAAGACCCACCAAGUCGACGAUCCGUAGCUGGUCUGAGAGGAUGAUCAGCCACACUGGAACUGAGACACGGUCCAGACGCCUACGGGAGGCAGCAGUGGGGAAUAUUGGACAAUGGGCGCAAGCCUGAUCCAGCCAUACCGCGUGGGUGAAGAAGGCCUUCGGGUUGUAAAGCCCUUUUGUUGGGAAAGAAAAGCAGCAGGUUAAUACCCCGCUGUUCUGACGGUACCCAAAGAAUAAGCACCGGCUAACUUCGUG
RNAcentral lists this ribosomal RNA (492 nucleotides) under uncultured bacterium. RNAcentral describes it as "partial 16S ribosomal RNA". It matches the Rfam family "Bacterial small subunit ribosomal RNA", at positions 29 to 507 of the family's 1533-position model. The record is from RNAcentral.